Molecule: ribosomal RNA, 430 nt
Filed under: bacterium
Lineage: Bacteria
Description: partial 16S ribosomal RNA
Rfam family: Bacterial small subunit ribosomal RNA
Source: RNAcentral
UGGGGAAUAUUGGACAAUGGGCGAAAGCCUGAUCCAGCCAUGCCGCGUGUGUGAAGAAGGCCUUUUGGUUGUAAAGCACUUUAAGCGAGGAGGAGGCUACUUAGAUUAAUACUCUAGGAUAGUGGACGUUACUCGCAGAAUAAGCACCGGCUAACUCUGUGCCAGCAGCCGCGGUAAUACAGAGGGUGCGAGCGUUAAUCGGAUUUACUGGACGUAAAGCGUGCGUAGGCGGCUUUUUAAGUCGGAUGUGAAAUCCCUGAGCUUAACUUAGGAAUUGCAUUCGAUACUGGGAAGCUAGAGUAUGGGAGAGGAUGGUAGAAUUCCAGGUGUAGCGGUGAAAUGCGUAGAGAUCUGGAGGAAUACCGAUGGCGAAGGCAGCCAUCUGGCCUAAUACUGACGCUGAGGUACGAAAGCAUGGGGAGCAAACAGG